GCUUUUUUAAUCGUAUCAUGUAAUCGUAUAUGUGCUCUUAAUAGUUAAGGUUAGUGAGAGUGACAUAACCAAAUAUCUUGAUUACAUCUUCUUCGUUCGGUCACCGUCUGCCGUUCCCCUCUUUCCCUGUCCGUCCGUCAGCAUCGAUAAGAUUAAAUUACCCACUCUGUUCUGGUCAUAGCAUCUUGAUUUCAAAGUGUUUGAUCCGCUGUCCAACAAGAUCAAGAGCGUUUUAGGAUGUUUUGUUGUGUACUGGGACUGUAGAACCCUUUUGGAUUAAUUGUAGUUGUUGGAUAUUGAGUUUCUAAUCCUUAUUCUUGGUGUAUGAAUAUGUUGGAACCGUUGUUUAAGGUUUGAAGUCGAUUUAGAUCAAGCCGCAAUUUCGGUAUUAACGGUGUCAUGGGACUAGUAGUGAUGGUGUUUCUGCAUUAGUUCAUGUUUCUAAAUGUUUUCAGUGUCAUAAUCAAAGCUUCAGAACUAGCAAUUUUGCCCUUAUUUUUAUUAACCUUUCUUUUGAAUGUUUCUUCGGUGAUCCCAAAUAGAAAAUUUAUUUUAAUUUGAACAAAUUGAUUCAAUGAUACUCAUGUUUCCUCGAAGCCCGCAUCCUUCCACCCAACCCAUAAACAACUCCUGUAUUUGCCCACCCUUUUGCUAUUCGCCUCUGAUUUUUCCUUUUUCCCACCUCCUCCUUGUUUUUGUUCAGCACCUUAAACACAGACAACAUUGGUUUUUCAGUUUGUGGAAUCUUUUGCUUCCUCCUCUCCUUUUUCAAGCCAGUGGAGUGUCGAUUUCUGGCUAAAACCAUGCUAUUCUCAGCACAAGAGUUGUGGGUAUGUUUUAUAGAUUCUUGGGGCGGGCUUAUUUUUAUGUAGUGGGAGUUUUGCUUCUGUCAUUGACAUUAAAAGUAGGAUAAUCUUGAAGCUUUUCUUCUUUUUCUUGAUUUCUUGAUGAUGUAGUACAGUUUUUCCUGUAAGUGGUGGUCUAAAUUCAUCAUAUGCUUAAUUUCUGCCGAAAGUUGCAUCCUGGGAAGUGGGAAGAUUAUGAGGCUACUGCAUUUCUUGUGAAGUUUUUCUCUUCAAGGAACAAUUUGAAGGUUGUUUGUUUUGUUUUGUCUGUCUUUGUGAAAUUAAAAUAUUCACAGAAAUGGUAAUCAUUUAUAUACUUUUAUAGUAUAGGAAACCUUGCUGUGUUUAUAUUUUCUGAAACAUCGAUGUUGGAAUCAUAAGAAGGUAGAUAUUGACCAUGAAAAUUUCUGUUUUUUUCUUCUGAAAUACCUCUGGAAUACAUUUUUGGCUCUAUCAAUUGUUGGGAUCAUAAGCAGGUAGAUAUUGUAUUAUGAAACCAACUUGAUUCUUGUGUUUUAGACCGGCCCGUUGGAUUCUCAAAGAUGACUUUCCCAUUUGAUAAGAACGUAGAUAUUGUAUUUGCUCUGUUUUAAACCAACAGAGCAAAUGUAGAUAUUGGAUUCUCAAAGAUGACUUUCCCAUUUGAUUUUUGAUUUCUUACUCCAUUUCAAAAGGUUUUUUUUUUUUUUUUGAAUUGCUUCACUUUGCUCUGUUUGUGCUUCAUUUCGAGGUUUGCAAUGUUUUGAACUGGAAAAGGAAAUAAGAGUUCUGUUGCUGAUUUGAUUGAAAUUUGUAUUUGGUACUAUCAUUAAUCUUUAUUUUCUUCUUUAUUCUAACAACAGUGAUAUUGAAGGCAGCAAUGCUUUUGCUUAGCAUUCAUAAUAUUUUUAGCUUAAAUCAACCAAUAAACUUCUAUUUUAAUUGUAAGGUUUUGAUCUUGGCAUCCAUAAUAUUUAAGAAUUGGAUGAAAUGGAGAUGUUAGCUUGUUUUGUGUUAAUGUGUUAAGAGAAAUAUAAGUCUUAAUGGUUAUUUUAUGGUUUUCUCCGUGAGUUAUUAUUUGAUAUAAUUACAAUGAAUCAUGAUAAAGUAGGGGAGGACGAACCGUAUGCAUACCUAAGUUUGUAUAAGAUUGGCCACAAGAUAAUUAAUCUUGGUUUCAUAAUACAAUAUCUAUCUUAACUUGAUUCUUGGAAAGAAUUGUUUCACUUUUGGUUAGAUUGUCUUUUCUCAAGGCGAAAUUGCAAAUUGUGUGGAAAGAUUUAUGUUCUCACAUUUCUAGUAGGAGUUGUUUGAUAAUAUUUUAUUUUUCAUAGGAUGACUUCAUCGUUUGCGAAUGAGACUUCAAAUCAAAGUCGUUCUAGUCCAGUAAGAUUGUUAGGAAAAAGAAAACCUAUUAAACCAGCUUCAUCAGCAUGGGACCAUUUUAUUAAAGUAGAAGGAUGUGAUCCUGAAUAUUCUAGGGCUGCUUGUAAGUACUGUGGGGUUAUGUAUGCCUAUGAUUUCAAGAGAAAUGGUACAACAAAUCUAAAAAGACAUAUAGAGAAAUGUAAGAAGUAUACAAAUAAGUCAGAAGAUUAUGUUGAAGGAGAGAGAGAUUUUGAAAGUAGUUUGAUGGUUGCAUCCUUCACUCAA
Molecule: long non-coding RNA, 2477 nt
Organism: Benincasa hispida (wax gourd)
Lineage: Eukaryota; Viridiplantae; Streptophyta; Magnoliopsida; Cucurbitales; Cucurbitaceae
Source: RefSeq, a predicted model, not a curated record